CAGCCGCCGCGGGAAUACGUAGGUGGCAAGCGUUGUCCGGAAUUAUUGGGCGUAAAGGGCUCGCAGGCGGUUUCUUAAGUCUGAUGUGAAAGCCCCCGGCUCAACCGGGGAGGGUCAUUGGAAACUGGGAAACUUGAGUGCAGAAGAGGAGAGUGGAAUUCCACGUGUAGCGGUGAAAUGCGUAGAGAUGUGGAGGAACACCAGUGGCGAAGGCGGCUCUCUGGUCUGUAACUGACGCUGAGGAGCGAAAGCGUGGGGAGCGAACAGGAUUAGAUACCCGUGUAGUCCCUGUCUCUUAUAC
RNAcentral lists this ribosomal RNA (301 nucleotides) under uncultured bacterium. Its description in RNAcentral is "partial 16S ribosomal RNA". It matches the Rfam family "Bacterial small subunit ribosomal RNA", at positions 509 to 807 of the family's 1533-position model. The record is from RNAcentral.